This 598-nucleotide long non-coding RNA is filed under the name Phoenix dactylifera (date palm). RNAcentral's name for it is "long non-coding RNA (PDAC_LNC002839)". The record is from RNAcentral. Lineage: Eukaryota; Viridiplantae; Streptophyta; Magnoliopsida; Arecales; Arecaceae.
UAAAAGCUGUUUCCAAGCAUGGAAUGUUUGAUGGUGCUGCCAAGUUGUGGAUUAAUUUUCUAGAGAUGGUGUCGUGUCUGAUUGUUGGGUUGGUAAAACCUUAUGAUGCCUCGGUACAUGUUCGGUCAUUGCAUACAAAUGGUCUUACGGAUUAUUCAUGCGUCGAUAGUUUAAUCUCAUGAAUAAUAUUCAGCUUAUAUCAGUGUCAUGCUACGACAAUUCCACGGGUGACUCACUAUCUUAGCGGUGAAUGAAAGUUACAAAUACUACAAACAAACUUUCUUGGUUAACUGAAAGGAUGCUUAAUGGUAAAUCCUUAAUUAGCUUUAUACGUAAUUUUUAAGUGCCUUUAUUACUGCCGGCCUUAAUGCUGUAACCCUUCAUGUAGAGGAAGAAAUUAUAAGCGAGCAUGUUUGUGCAUAACCUUUUUUUUCUAAGGAAAAAUGCACGUUGUUAAUUGCAAUGAAGGUGGAAAGAUGGGUAUUGAAACAUGGGUACCUGCUCCAAGGUUGUACUUGUGUUUGGGAGUACCCAUGAACUGGUGGCUGGAAAGUGUGAAAGCUUUGGUUAAAGUUAGAGAAGUCAUGCUCUAGUCCGA